Molecule: ribosomal RNA, 451 nt
Filed under: uncultured bacterium
Lineage: Bacteria
Description: partial 16S ribosomal RNA
Rfam family: Bacterial small subunit ribosomal RNA
Source: RNAcentral
AACGAACGCUGGCGGCAGGCUUAACACAUGCAAGUCGAACGGGUGCAGCAAUGCAUCAGUGGCAGACGGGGGAGUAACACGUGGGAACCUUCCUAGGGGUACGGAACAACUCAGGGAAACUUGAGCUAAUACCGUAUACGUCCGUGAGGAGAAAGAUUUAUCGCCCUUAGACGGGCCCGCGUCGGAUUAGCUAGUUGGUGGGGUAACGGCCUACCAAGGCGACGAUCCGUAGCUGAUCUUAGAGGAUGAUCAGCCACACUGGGACUGAGACACGGCCCAGACUCCUACGGGAGGCAGCAGUGGGGAAUCUUGGACAAUGGGCGCAAGCCUGAUCCAGCCAUGCCGCGUGAGUGGAGAAGGUCUUCGGAUUGUAAAGCUCUUUUGCCAGGGACGAUAAUGACGGUACCUGGAGAAUAAGCCCCGGCAAACUUCGUGCCAGCCGCCGCUGUAA